This 317-nucleotide ribosomal RNA is filed under the name uncultured Alphaproteobacteria bacterium. Its description in RNAcentral is "bacterial SSU rRNA". It matches the Rfam family "Bacterial small subunit ribosomal RNA", at positions 154 to 504 of the family's 1533-position model. The record is from RNAcentral. Lineage: Bacteria; Pseudomonadati; Pseudomonadota; Alphaproteobacteria.
AAACUUGAGUUAAUACCGGAUACGCCCUUUUGGGGGAAAGAUUUAUUGCCGAAAGAUCGGCCCGCGUCCGAUUAGNUAGUUGGUGUGGUAAUGGCGCACCAAGGCGACGAUCGGUAGCUGGUCUGAGAGGAUGAUCAGCCACACUGGGACUGAGACACGGCCCAGANUCNUACGGGAGGCAGCAGUGGGGAAUAUUGGACAAUGGGCGCAAGCCUGAUCCAGCCAUGCCGCGUGAGUGAUGAAGGCCCUAGGGUUGUAAAGNUCUUUCGCCAGGGACGAUAAUGACGGUACCUGGAUAAGAAGCCCCGGCUAACUUC